GGAACACUCUUUGAUAUGGAGAGUUUUCAGUUUGAAACUGACAUAGAAGGUGGGAAGCUACGGCGUGAUGUUUUAGCAGCUGGUAGUGUUGGCAAGGGACCUGCUCCUUCCGGAAUUGUAUCUAUGUUAUCUGGUGAAGAAGAAAUGUUUGCCUUCCGCCGAGCAGUCUCAAGAUUGAUUGAAAUGCAGACGCCACUAUACAUCGAAGGGGCUAAACAUUAUCAUCCCCAAUUCAAGGGCACAACAGACAGCUACCAAUUGGCCUCUCUCCUGACUUGA
Molecule: unclassified non-coding RNA, 279 nt
Filed under: Hevea brasiliensis (rubber tree)
Lineage: Eukaryota; Viridiplantae; Streptophyta; Magnoliopsida; Malpighiales; Euphorbiaceae
Source: RNAcentral